RNAcentral lists this ribosomal RNA (762 nucleotides) under uncultured bacterium. RNAcentral's name for it is "bacterial SSU rRNA". It matches the Rfam family "Bacterial small subunit ribosomal RNA", at positions 8 to 762 of the family's 1533-position model. The record is from RNAcentral.
AGAGUUUGAUCAUGGCUCAGAUUGAACGCCGGCGGCAGGCUUAACACAUGCAAGUCGAGCGGGGUGAUGGUGCUUGCACUAUCACUUAGCGGCGGACGGGUGAGUAAUGCUUAGGAAUCUGCCUAUUAGUGGGGGACAACAUCUCGAAAGGGAUGCUAAUACCGCAUACGUCCUACGGGAGAAAGCAGGGGAUCACUUGUGACCUUGCGCUAAUAGAUGAGCCUAAGUCGGAUUAGCUAGUUGGUGGGGUAAAGGCCUACCAAGGCGACGAUCUGUAGCGGGUCUGAGAGGAUGAUCCGCCACACUGGGACUGAGACACGGCCCAGACUCCUACGGGAGGCAGCAGUGGGGAAUAUUGGACAAUGGGGGGAACCCUGAUCCAGCCAUGCCGCGUGUGUGAAGAAGGCCUUAUGGUUGUAAAGCACUUUAAGCGAGGAGGAGGCUCUUUUGGUUAAUACCCAAGAUGAGUGGACGUUACUCGCAGAAUAAGCACCGGCUAACUCUGUGCCAGCAGCCGCGGUAAUACAGAGGGUGCAAGCGUUAAUCGGAUUUACUGGGCGUAAAGCGCGCGUAGGCGGCCAAUUAAGUCAAAUGUGAAAUCCCCGAGCUUAACUUGGGAAUUGCAUUCGAUACUGGUUGGCUAGAGUGUGGGAGAGGAUGGUAGAAUUCCAGGUGUAGCGGUGAAAUGCGUAGAGAUCUGGAGGAAUACCGAUGGCGAAGGCAGCCAUCUGGCCUAACACUGACGCUGAGGUGCGAAAGCAU